UUGUACACACCGCCCGUCACACCACGAGAGUUUGUAACACCCGAAGCCGGUGGAGUAACCAUUUUGGAGCUAGCCGUCGAAGGUGGGACAAAUGAUUGGGGUGAAGUCGUAACAAGGUAGCCGUAUCGGAAGGUGCGGCUGGAUCACCUCCUUUCUAAGGA
Molecule: ribosomal RNA, 161 nt
Filed under: Staphylococcus pseudintermedius
Lineage: Bacteria; Bacillati; Bacillota; Bacilli; Caryophanales; Staphylococcaceae
Description: partial 16S ribosomal RNA
Rfam family: Bacterial small subunit ribosomal RNA
Source: RNAcentral